This is a long non-coding RNA of Leptinotarsa decemlineata (Colorado potato beetle), 836 nucleotides long. NCBI's taxonomy places the organism in Eukaryota, Metazoa, Arthropoda, Insecta, Coleoptera, Chrysomelidae. The record is from RefSeq and is a predicted model, not a curated record.
CUAUAUUUACAAUUUUCUUCUUAGGCCAGAGUAGACAGAAUCAACAUUGAUGGAUUGUCAAGAACUAGAAAUGAUAUAGUAGAGGACUGUAUUAAAGAAUUAUUCAAAGCUAAAGAUUUUCAAGAAGUUCUUUUGAAGGCGCAUAGGGCUCGAGUGAAAUUAGAUGAACUAGGCUGUUUUAAAAACAUUUCCAUUUUUGUUGAUACAAGCAAAGGUCCCAAAUCAACUCCUGAUGGUUUAGAGGUAUUAGUUUUUUUCAAUGGAAAAUUGGUUGUUAUCCAAAAAAACCAAUUUUGAAUGAAGCAAAUCAUUUUGGUUUUGGUUAUGGAUGUGCCUUAUGUACUGUAGUUGAUUUUUUUGACUCGUUUGAAGACUGGGAGUUCUCGGGUCUAAAUUUGAAAAUAUUUUGUGUGAUAUUGAUAUUGAUAAAAUAAACUGCAUGAUGUACUAGACAGCUUCAACCUCAUACAAGAUAUUAAGAAACCAACCAGAAUUGGAGCUACAAAAAUGACUUAAUUGGAUUUUUUGCUGUUCUGUGUCAUGUGUAGGGUGGUAUCAACACGUGUGACUGAUCAGCCGUUUUAUUAUGUCUACAGAGACUUCAGAAAUUAGCAAUAAUGAUUUUUUAACAGACUGCAAAUAGAUUUCAAUCCUAUAUUGUAUACUAGAGACAUUAAUGAAAAAAUUGAAAUUAGAAUAGCCCUGAUUACAAAAUAUAUUUUUGUAUUCUGAUAUGACUUCAAUGUGAUAUAGUGCAUAAGUUGAAUGUCGCAACAUAUAUGUUAUUUCUUAACUGUAAUGGGGUAACCCGUUUAUAAAUAAAUAAAUAAAAAUCA